RNAcentral lists this ribosomal RNA (330 nucleotides) under uncultured bacterium. RNAcentral's name for it is "bacterial SSU rRNA". It matches the Rfam family "Bacterial small subunit ribosomal RNA", at positions 568 to 898 of the family's 1533-position model. The record is from RNAcentral.
UGUGUAGGCGGCUCUCUAAGUUUGGUGUGAAAUCUCCCGGCUCAACCGGGAGGGUGCGCCGAAAACUGGAGGGCUAGAGUGCGGGACGGGAGAGUAGAAUUCCUGGUGUAGCGGUGAAAUGCGUAGAUAUCAGGAGGAAUACCGGUGGUGUAGACGGCUCUCUGGACCGCAACUGACGCUGAAACACGAAAGCGUGGGUAGCAAACAGGAUUAGAUACCCUGGUAGUCCACGCCCUAAACGAUGCAUAUUUGGUGUAGGUCAUUCAGUUGAUCUGUGCCGGAGCUAACGCGUUAAAUAUGCCGCCUGGGGAGUACAGUCGCAAGGCUGAA